CAUCUGGAACGUCUACUAAAAGGUCGUAUCCUCCGGUCGUAGCUGAUCGUAACCAUUCAAGUUAACGUGUCAAUUUACACCGACUUCUUUCCGUUCCUCUGCGGAUCACCGGACUCCUCAGCUGAUCACAAGAGUUCUAUUUUUUCUGGACGCCGGAGCAUGGCGGAUAAAUUCAGCACAGAUUAACCCGUGCUGGAAAGGAAGUCGGGCACA
Molecule: non-coding RNA, 213 nt
Organism: Xyrichtys novacula (pearly razorfish)
Lineage: Eukaryota; Metazoa; Chordata; Actinopteri; Labriformes; Labridae
Source: the annotation of a GenBank genome assembly